Molecule: transfer RNA, 74 nt
Filed under: Pseudomonadota bacterium
Lineage: Bacteria; Pseudomonadati; Pseudomonadota
Description: Proteobacteria bacterium (wastewater metagenome) tRNA-Val
Rfam family: tRNA
About the family: Transfer RNA (tRNA) molecules are approximately 80 nucleotides in length.
Source: RNAcentral
GGAGUUGUAGCUCAGUUGGUUAGAGCGCAGCAUUGACAUUGCUGAGGUCACAGGUUCGAAUCCUGUCAGCUCCA